CGCGAACGCUGUCGGCGUGCCUAACACAUGCAAGUCGUGGGGCAGCAGGCCGGUUCCUUCGGGAACUGGUGCUGGCGACCGGCGAACGGGUGAGUAACGCGUGAGCAACCUACCCCGAGGAGGGGGAUAACCCGGGGAAACCCGGGCUAAUACCCCAUAAGCGCACGGCUCGCAUGAGCUGUGUGAAAAGGGUGGCCUCUGCACUGCAAGCUGCCGCCUCGGGAUGGGCUCGCGUCCCAUCAGGUAGUUGGUGGGGUAACGGCCCACCAAGCCUACGACGGGUAGCCGGCCUGAGAGGGUGGUCGGCCACACCGGGACUGAGACACGGCCCGGACUCCUACGGGAGGCAGCAGUGGGGAAUCUUGGGCAAUGGGCGCAAGCCUGACCCAGCGACGCCGAGUGGAGGAAGAAGCCCUUCGGGGUGUAAACUCCUGUCGCCGGGGACGAUGCGUGUGUGGGUUAAUAGCCCACACACGUGACGGUACCCGGAGAGGAAGGGACGGCUAACUACGUGCCAGCAGCCNCGGUAAUACGUA
Molecule: ribosomal RNA, 536 nt
Filed under: uncultured Desulfurobacterium sp.
Lineage: Bacteria; Pseudomonadati; Aquificota; Aquificia; Desulfurobacteriales; Desulfurobacteriaceae
Description: bacterial SSU rRNA
Rfam family: Bacterial small subunit ribosomal RNA
Source: RNAcentral